Molecule: ribosomal RNA, 468 nt
Filed under: uncultured bacterium
Lineage: Bacteria
Description: partial 16S ribosomal RNA
Rfam family: Bacterial small subunit ribosomal RNA
Source: RNAcentral
GACGAACGCUGGCGGCGUGCUUAACACAUGCAAGUCGAACGGAAAGGCCCUGCUUUUGUGGGGUGCUCGAGUGGCGAACGGGUGAGUAACACGUGAGUAACCUGCCCUUGACUUUGGGAUAACUUCAGGAAACUGGGGCUAAUACCGGAUAGGAGCUCCUGCUGCAUGGUGGGGGUUGGAAAGUUUCGGCGGUUGGGGAUGGACUCGCGGCUUGUCAGCUUGUUGGUGGGGUAGUGGCUUACCAAGGCUUUGACGGGUAGCCGGCCUGAGGGGGUGACCGGCCAAAUUGGGACUGGGAUACGGCCCGAACUCCUACGGGAGGCAGCAGUGGGGAAAUUUGCACAAUGGGCGGAAGCCGGAUGCAGCAACGCCGCGUGCGGGAUGACGGCCUUCGGGUUGUAAACCGCUUUCGCCUGUGACGAAGCGUGAGUGACGGUAAUGGGUAAAGAAGCACCGGCUAACUACGUG